RNAcentral lists this ribosomal RNA (238 nucleotides) under uncultured bacterium. RNAcentral describes it as "partial 16S ribosomal RNA". It matches the Rfam family "Bacterial small subunit ribosomal RNA", at positions 524 to 761 of the family's 1533-position model. The record is from RNAcentral.
UACGUAGGGCGCAAGCGUUGUCCGGAAUUAUUGGGCGUAAAGAGCUCGUAGGCGGUUUGUCGCGUCUGCUGUGAAAACCUAAGGCUCAACCUUGGGCUUGCAGUGGGUACGGGCAGACUAGAGUGCGGUAGGGGUGACUGGAAUUCCUGGUGUAGCGGUGGAAUGCGCAGAUAUCAGGAGGAACACCGAUGGCGAAGGCAGGUCACUGGGCCGCAACUGACGCUGAGGAGCGAAUGGG